Molecule: transfer RNA, 65 nt
Filed under: Andrena hunanensis
Lineage: Eukaryota; Metazoa; Arthropoda; Insecta; Hymenoptera; Andrenidae
Description: tRNA-Ala
Source: RNAcentral
AGGAUAUUAGUUAAAAAAAAUAACAAUUAAAUUGCAUUUAAUAAUUAAUAAAAAAUUAUAUCUUA